RNAcentral lists this long non-coding RNA (487 nucleotides) under Ananas comosus (pineapple). Its description in RNAcentral is "long non-coding RNA (ACOM_LNC020544)". Lineage: Eukaryota; Viridiplantae; Streptophyta; Magnoliopsida; Poales; Bromeliaceae. The record is from RNAcentral.
CUAUCUACAGAAGCUUUUGCUUCUCCUUGUUUAACAUCUCGGAAAGGACCGCCUCGUGUGUCACUAUAACUUUCGAACGUUUUGCUCUCAUCCACACAUGUAUCGAAAGGUCUUCUCUCAGAAUCACAUUCAGCAAGUUUCGAGCUACAGGAAGAACUUUUCCUAUCUACAGAAGCUUUUGCUUCUUCUUGUUUAACAGUUCGAAGAGGAAUGCCUCGUGUGCCACUGCUGCUUACACAUGAGGUCGCCAAACCGGCUAUUUUUCCGUCCAAAGAAGAGGUUCCAACAGAAGGUCGUGUGCCAUUACUUCUUUUUUCUCUAUUGAGUUCGAGCGUUUUGCUCUCAUCCACACAUGUAUCGAAAGGUCUUCUCUCAGAAUCACAUUCAGCAAGUUUCAAGCUACAGGAAGAACUUUCGCUAUCUACAGAAGCUUCUGCUUCUUCUUGUUCAACAGCUCGAGGAGGAGCGUCUUGUGUGCCACUGCAGC